RNAcentral lists this long non-coding RNA (1138 nucleotides) under Linum usitatissimum (flax). RNAcentral's name for it is "long non-coding RNA (LUSI_LNC002317)". Lineage: Eukaryota; Viridiplantae; Streptophyta; Magnoliopsida; Malpighiales; Linaceae. The record is from RNAcentral.
GCCUUUAGAGUGACCUGAGAGCACAGAAUUGCAGACGGGACCCUUUUCUAUGAUUCAUACUACCACCCAUCAUUUUGGUACACACCGGUAGGUUUGUGAGAAAGUUGAUAACUUUUGCCGAAGACAGCCUAAUUCUUGCCUUUUCUUGUGUCUGGUUUACCCAUCACAUUCUUCUAUCAAAUCCUUUACUGGGCAGUUGGUAUUUAGUCGCAUUUAUUUAUGACAUGAUUGACUACUUGAGCAGAAAUUUUGGAAGCUUGUCAUUUGUUCUUUUUCCUUUUUGUAUUUGGCUGAUUUCUGAACUUGCUUUGCGUUUAGCUUUUUUUUUCUUCCCUUUGGAUCUCACACUUCACAUACUGCAGUCUUUUUACAGAACAAACUAAUUCCAUGUCCAUAAUAACAUAAUAACAUCUACAAUUCUUGACACCAUUCUAACUACGUUAUUGCUACCAUAUCUUAAAUUGCUUUAUAAUGUAUGCAUAAUGUCACAAGUCAAUGUUUUUCGUCAAAUUAGUGCUCUAUCUUCUGUUGCAUUUCAAUACUUCGGUUGUUCUUGCUCCAACACCCCUAUCUUCUUGCCUUUUGAAACAACAUUUUUCAAGCCAAGCCAUGAACUUUCAGACAUCCCCCUUACUAAUGAUGUUUUGCAGCUCAACACCAGAAGUUGAGCCCUUGUGAACUUCCAUAAGGUAGGUCAAAUUGAUAGCUUGAGUUAAGACUGCACCAUUUCUCCUGUGCUGCUGCCAAUGAGCCUUCCGUUGAAGUGUGGAACUUGUCCAUUAGCUGGACUCCGUCAUACUGUGAGCUCUGUGAACUUGUGUAUACUCUGUUCUGCAUUACUUGAGGCACUUCAGGCUCAAAAAUGGUUGUAUCAUCUGAACCUAUGACUUGACGACUUCCUUCCAGGUUCUUGCAGAUGUCGGCAUCUCCUCCCCAUGUUUUCUCAACCAGUGCAUUCAAGUUCUCGAACUGUUCCAAAAGACAGGAAAGUAAUCAUUUUAACUACAUGGAAUCAUUAAGUUUGUAUAGGUUGCUGAAAAUGGAACGAAGUAUGUAAUAACCUGUAAGAGUAGCGACUGCCUCUCAUUCUGUAAAGACUCGAAACGAGAUGCUAGGCUGUCAUAAUCAGCCUUCAACA